Molecule: ribosomal RNA, 498 nt
Filed under: uncultured Desulfovibrio sp.
Lineage: Bacteria; Pseudomonadati; Thermodesulfobacteriota; Desulfovibrionia; Desulfovibrionales; Desulfovibrionaceae
Description: bacterial SSU rRNA
Rfam family: Bacterial small subunit ribosomal RNA
Source: RNAcentral
GCUCAGAAACUUAAAGGAAUUGACGGGGGCCCGCACAAGCGGUGGAGUAUGUGGUUUAAUUCGAUGCAACGCGAAGAACCUUACCUGGUCUUGACAUCCCGGAGACCCUUAGGAAACUAGGGGGUGCUUCCAUCUGGAAGAAUCUGGAGACAGGUGCUGCAUGGCUGUCGUCAGCUCGUGUCGUGAGAUGUUGGGUUAAGUCCCGCAACGAGUGCAACCCCUAUUGCCAGUUGCUACCAGGUAAUGCUGGGCACUCUGGUGAGACUGCCCCGGUUAACGGGGAGGAAGGUGGGGACGACGUCAAGUCAUCAUGGCCCUUACGCCUAGGGCUACACACGUACUACAAUGGCGCAUACAAAGGGCAGCGAUACCGCGAGGUGGAGCCAAUCCCAAAAAGUGCGUCCCAGUCCGGAUUGCAGUCUGCAACUCGACUGCAUGAAGUUGGAAUCGCUAGUAAUUCGAGAUCAGCAUGCUCGGGUGAAUGCGUUCCCGGGCCUU